RNAcentral lists this long non-coding RNA (1383 nucleotides) under Rhinopithecus bieti (black snub-nosed monkey). RNAcentral describes it as "lncRNA (ENSRBIG00000046545.1)". Lineage: Eukaryota; Metazoa; Chordata; Mammalia; Primates; Cercopithecidae. The record is from RNAcentral.
CAACUGGAAGAUUUUUAUAAUCAAACAUGCUCCAUUGAAUGCCAUUCAAUCUUAUGAAAUCUGGAAAAAUGUAAAAAUCAGUUCAUUCGGUAUUGCUAAACCAGGCAAGCUCUAUUAAUCAACAUUUCUAUGCUUAUCAGCAUAAUGAUAAAGGAUAUUCAUUAAUAUUUUAAAAGAUAAUGUGCAGGAUUGUUUCCAUGUUGUGUGCCUUUUGUAUUCUAAUUCUUUGAACUUGCUAGACUCAAGAUAUAUAUGGCAAUUUGCUAUCAAGAGUAUAUUUGGUUAAUCAAAAACAAUUAGCUAUCUGUAGCUAAUGUUACCCAAUAUAACUAGCAGCUGUGGGUUUUUGUUGUUGUUUUUUAAUAUAAUAGUGUUUUCAUAGUCAUUCAUUAUCCUGUUUUUCAGAUAGUUUUGAUAUUUUAAUAAAUUUUCAGUGUGUCAAAUAACUUUAUUGCAAUGAAUUCAUUUCUCUCUCUGUCUCUCUUUUUUUUUAUUUUUUUGGACAUUGCAGGUGAAAGUAGAGAAGAAAAGUUAGGAGACUCAUUGCAAGAUUUAUACAGGGCACUGGAGCAGGCCAGUCUGUCACCACUAGGAGAACAUCGUAUUUCAACCAAGAUGGAAUACAAGCUAUCAUUUAUAAAAAGAUGUAAUGAUCCUGUAAUGAAUGAAAAACUACACAGGCUGAGAAUUCUCAAAAGCACUUUAAAGGCCAGAGAAGGGGAAGUAGCCAUUAUCGAUAAAGUCCUAGACAAUCCAGAUUUGACAUCUAAAGAAUUCCAACAAUGGAAGCAGAUGUACCUCGACCUUUUCUUGGAUAUCUGUCAAAAUACCACCUCAAAUGACCCACUGAGUAUUUCUUCUGAAGUAGAUGUAAUCACUUCCUCUCUAACACACACUCAUUCAUACAUUGAAACGCAUGUCUAAAUGUAUUCUGCCUUCAGGCCAUCUAGUACCUGCUGGUACUCUGAACACAUAUAUAAGGUAGUUUUUUAUAUCAAUGUGUGGAACACUUGACAAGCUAUACUUUAAUGUUACCAAACUAUAUGAAACAAACCAUAUAUGGUCACAAUACCACUAUCUUUAAUGAGCAUUUGUAUAUUUUAUAUGCAAUCAGUGCUCAGCUUAUGUUUACCAUGUGCAAAAUCAACUGUCUUUAAUGACUUAAAAUUAACUUUUGCAAACAAUUCUAAAUACAGGUGGUCUUCAAGUAGUAAAACCACAAAAGGCAGUUUUCUAUCUAUGGUCAUCUUUUCUCCCUUUAAGUUAAUUUUAUAUAAACAAGACUUCAAAAGUAAAUCACAUUUUUUCACGGUGCAGACAUCUUGUGGGGUGGAAGAAUUACCUUUUUUAUAUUUAUUAAAUGUUCUAAUUUUCUUAAACAUU